AGUGAACGCUGGCGGUAGGCCUAACACAUGCAAGUCGAACGGCAGCACAGGAGAGCUUGCUCUCUGGGUGGCGAGUGGCGGACGGGUGAGGAAUACAUCGGAAUCUGCCCAGUCGUGGGGGAUAACGUAGGGAAACUUACGCUAAUACCGCAUACGACCUUCGGGUGAAAGAGGGGGAUCGCAAGACCUCUCGCGAUUGGAUGAGCCGAUGUCGGAUUAGCUAGUUGGCGGGGUAAUGGCCCACCAAGGCGACGAUCCGUAGCUGGUCUGAGAGGAUGAUCAGCCACACUGGAACUGAGACACGGUCCAGACUCCUACGGGAGGCAGCAGUGGGGAAUAUUGGGCAAUGGGCGCAAGCCUGAUCCAGCCAUACCGCGUGGGUGAAGAAGGCCUUCGGGUUGUAAAGCCCUUUUGUUGGGAAAGAAAUCUUUCAGGCUAAUACCCUGGGAGGAUGACGGUACCCAAAGAAUAAGCACCGGCUAACUUCGUG
RNAcentral lists this ribosomal RNA (490 nucleotides) under uncultured bacterium. RNAcentral describes it as "partial 16S ribosomal RNA". It matches the Rfam family "Bacterial small subunit ribosomal RNA", at positions 29 to 507 of the family's 1533-position model. The record is from RNAcentral.